AAAUGAAUUGACGGGGGCCCGCACAAGCAGUGGAGUAUGUGGUUUAAUUCGAAGCAACGCGAAGAACCUUACCAGGUCUUGACAUCUAACUAACGAAGCAGAGAUGCAUUAGGUGCCCUUCGGGGAAAGUUAAGACAGGUGGUGCAUGGUUGUCGUCAGCUCGUGUCGUGAGAUGUUGGGUUAAGUCCCGCAACGAGCGCAACCCUUGUGAUUAGUUGCUACGCAAGAGCACUCUAAUCAGACUGCCGUUGACAAAACGGAGGAAGGUGGGGACGACGUCAAAUCAUCAUGCCCUUUAUGACCUGGGCUACACACGUACUACAAUGGCUGUUAACAAAGGGAAGCAAUACCGCGAGGUGGAGCAAAACCUAAAAAACAGUCUCAGUUCGGAUCGUAGGCUGCAACUCGCCUACGUGAAGUUGGAAUUGCUAGUAAUCGCGGAUCAUCAUGCCGCGGUGAAUACGUUCCCGGGCCUUGCACACACCGCCCGU
This 491-nucleotide ribosomal RNA is filed under the name uncultured bacterium. Its description in RNAcentral is "bacterial SSU rRNA". It matches the Rfam family "Bacterial small subunit ribosomal RNA", at positions 903 to 1397 of the family's 1533-position model. The record is from RNAcentral.